RNAcentral lists this ribosomal RNA (407 nucleotides) under uncultured bacterium. Its description in RNAcentral is "partial 16S ribosomal RNA". It matches the Rfam family "Bacterial small subunit ribosomal RNA", at positions 30 to 526 of the family's 1533-position model. The record is from RNAcentral.
AUUGAACGCUGGCGGCAGGCCUAACACAUGCAAGUCGAGCGGCACGACGGGCGGGUGCGUAAUGCCUAUGAAUGUGCCUGGCAGUGGGGGGUAGCGUCCGGAAACGGACGCUAAUACCGCAUACUCUCAGAUACGCCUAGGUCGGAUUGGCUAGUUGGUGGGGUAAAUGCCUACCAAGGCGACGAUCCGUAACUGGUCUGAGAGGAUGAUCAGUCACACGGGAACUGAGACACGUUCCAGACUCCUACGGGAGGCAGCAGUGGGGAAUAGUGGACAAUGGGCGAAAGCCUGAUCCAGCCAUGCCGCGUGUGUGAAGAAGGUCUUCGGAUUGUAAAGCACUUUAAGUUGGGAGGCGUUACCAACAGAAUAAGCACCGGCUAACUUCGUGCCAGCAGCCGCGGUAAUAC